GUGGAUUCAAGUACCGGCUUCCUGGGACCUAGUGAGUUGAUUGUUUGUGGUGCAUGGACUAAUUAGAAAGACCUCGCAGAGGAAUAGAACUGGAGGGAACCACAAAGGUUAGCUUUGUAUUCUCAUUCGAACACUGGCCCGAUUCUCGCCAGCCCCACCUGGUAAAUGCCUACUGCUAAUUCCUUUGAGUGGCGCCUCUCGAGUGCUGUUAGAUAGCUAAUGUCUGCAAGGAUCUUCACCUGUGUAUUCGGGGGAAUCUGUGCUGUUCACCUUGGGACGUCAUUUUCGUCGCCUUUUAGAGAUGACGGCCAAAUUCGCUGAAUAAGAACCAUAAUUAAGAAAGGCCUGAGCGCGGUUGCUCACGCCUGUAAUCCCUGCAGCUUGGAAGGCUAAGGGAGAAGGACCGAGAGUUCAAAGCCACCCUCAGCAAUUUAGCGAGGCCUUAAGCAACUCAGCGAGACCCAUCACUAAAUAUUAAAAAGGGCUGGGGGUGUGGCUCAGUGGUUAAGCGCCCAAUCCCUGGUACCAAAACAAACAAACAAAAAAAUCGGUCUGGUCAUUCAUACCUAACAUCCCCUUUGGGAUUCAUGGUAUCAGGUGCUAGCAUUCACCAGCAGACAACACCCAGGCCUGGUCCUCUAGAGACAAGUGUCAGUUGUUUGAAAGAAACACAGAGACAUCUCAUCUAGCCUUGGAACCAGUAAAAGGGGCGCCAAAACCACUUAGCUCUCCAUUUGAAACCAACAGGGGCUUCUGCAUAAUUUGAACACUGUACUACUUAAAGCACUUAAGAGAAAGUGGCCCAUUGAAUGGUCACUGACAGUGGUGUAAGCUUUUUCUGAAGAACUAUUUGGGAGAUUGGGGCAGGGUCUCAGCAGUAGCGCACUGGUAUGUGUGAAGCACUGAGUUCGAUUCUCAGCACCACAUAUAAGAUAUAUAUAUAGAGAGAGAGAAUUGGGAGAUUGAUUCUCUUGGUAGUUUAAAAUAUAUGUUAGAGGGCUGGAGUGUAGCUAAAUGAUAGAGUAUUUGCCUAGGAUGCUCCAGGCCCUGGGUUUAAUUCCUAG
RNAcentral lists this long non-coding RNA (1064 nucleotides) under Marmota monax (woodchuck). Lineage: Eukaryota; Metazoa; Chordata; Mammalia; Rodentia; Sciuridae. The record is from RNAcentral.